GGGCGGGGCCGGGCCGGGGCGGGGCGCGGGGCGGGUGGCGCCCGGUGUGUGCAGGCGCGGCCCGGGCGCCCCGAGGGCAGCUGCGGCGGGGCCUGGGCCGCGGGGAGGCUCCCCGGGACCCGGACGCCCACACCCCCGGGGGCGGGGACCGCGGUGACCCCCCCCACCCGCCCCGGACGCCCGGGCUUUGCGCCUGCAGGACGGUGACGUCGGGCACCCGCGCCCCCGGGAGACCCGCGUCCCGGAGGCCACAGCGGGGCCCUGUGCACGUGCUGCCCUCGGGGGUCCAGGGAGCCACCAGGGGCUGGCGCAGGCUGGCAGUACCCGGCAGCCGCAGAAACCACACACACAGGUGGACAAAGGAACGUGUCACUUCAAGGAACGGCUGAUGCUUUCCGGAAAAUAAAAAAUAUUGGGAGCAACGAGGUAUGGCGGGGCGACGAUGGUCCCAGGUCACCCCCCUCCGUAUUCCCCGUAUUCCUCCCCCUGCCCCCCACAGGUGUGGAAGCCAGAGCUCCUCGCGGCCACAGACCCCACAGACCUAAUGCAGGAGAGCCGCCCCCAGAAGAUGCCAAGCGCCCUCCUCCGUCUCAGCCGCUCGGCCUGACCCCCACGUCCCCGUGGCCAGGGGCCAGGUUCCUGCCUGGUGGCCCCGGGGGAGGACGCCCAGCUGUCUUGGCCUGUCCUUGGUCUCUGACCGUGGAGGGGAUCCUCACUGCCUGGGGACUGAGGCAGGGAUGGGACCCAAGUUCUCAGCGAGGGUGUGCAAGAGCUGGACGUUGUGACCUUGGCCGAGACCUGACCCUGCCGCGGCCCCGCCGCCCCAGCCUGGGCUCUGCAAACCAAAGGGUAAGAGAGAGCCCACCUGGAAGGUUUGGAUGGGCAGGUGGCCCCGGACGACGCAGGUGGAAUCAGAGGAGCGCCGCGCAGAGAGCGUUUCCCUCCGCGACCCGGGAGAUGUCCGUGACCCGCCGUCGCCGGGUGUGAAGGUAGAGGAAGGGGCCUCGAGCCAGAGAAUAAGCUGGAAAAGCAAGGAAUAGACCCCCCUCCCCGACCCCCGAGACACCAAAAGGAAGGCAACUGCACCGAUACAUUUAGUUCAGAGACCCAUGUUGGACUUCUGAUCUCUAGGACUAGAGAAGAACAAUCUGUUGUUUUUUUGUAUUAAAGAUUUUAUUGAAAAAAAAAAGAUGUUAUUUAUUUAUUCACGAGAGAGGCAGAGACACAGGGAGAAGCAGGCUCCUCGCAGGGAGCCCGAUGUGGGACUCGAUCCCGGGACUCCGGGAUCA
Molecule: long non-coding RNA, 1289 nt
Filed under: Canis lupus dingo (dingo)
Lineage: Eukaryota; Metazoa; Chordata; Mammalia; Carnivora; Canidae
Description: lncRNA (ENSCAFG00020016858.1)
Source: RNAcentral